UGGGGAAUAUUGGACAAUGGGCGAAAGCCUGAUCCAGCCAUGCCGCGUGUGUGAAGAAGGUCUUCGGAUUGUAAAGCACUUUAAGUUGGGAGGAAGGGCAUUAACCUAAUACGUUAGUGUUUUGACGUUACCGACAGAAUAAGCACCGGCUAACUCUGUGCCAGCAGCCGCGGUAAUACAGAGGGUGCAAGCGUUAAUCGGAUUUACUGGGCGUAAAGCGCGCGUAGGUGGUUUGUUAAGUUGGAUGUGAAAUCCCCGGGCUCAACCUGGGAACUGCAUUCAAAACUGACUGGCUAGAGUAUGGUAGAGGGUGGUGGAAUUUACUGUGUAGCGGUGAAAUGCGUAGAUAUAGGAAGGAACACCAGUGGCGAAGGCGACCACCUGGACUAAUACUGACACUGAGGUGCGAAAGCGUGGGGAGCAAACA
RNAcentral lists this ribosomal RNA (427 nucleotides) under uncultured bacterium. RNAcentral describes it as "partial 16S ribosomal RNA". It matches the Rfam family "Bacterial small subunit ribosomal RNA", at positions 355 to 774 of the family's 1533-position model. The record is from RNAcentral.